Molecule: ribosomal RNA, 663 nt
Filed under: uncultured Acidobacteriota bacterium
Lineage: Bacteria; Pseudomonadati; Acidobacteriota
Description: bacterial SSU rRNA
Rfam family: Bacterial small subunit ribosomal RNA
Source: RNAcentral
AAUCAACGCUGGCGGCGUGCCUAACACAUGCAAGUCGUACGCGAAAGGGGCUUCGGCCCUGAGUAGAGUGGCGAACGGGUGAGUAACACGUGGGUGAUCUACCUUCGAGUGGGGGAUAACGUCCCGAAAGGGACGCUAAUACCGCAUGACGUUCCGGGGUUAAAGACCUGGAAACCAAAGCCGGGGACCGCAAGGCCUGGCGCUCGUAGAGGAGCCCGCGUCCGAUUAGCUAGUUGGCGGGGUAAUGGCCCACCAAGGCGACGAUCGGUAGCCGGCCUGAGAGGGCGGACGGCCACACUGGAACUGAGACACGGUCCAGACUCCCACGGGAGGCAGCAGUGGGGAAUUGUUCACAAUGGGCGCAAGCCUGAUGACGCAACGCCGCGUGGGGGAUGAAGGUCUUCGGAUUGUAAACCCUUGUCGAGCGGGAAGAACGACUCGCGCAUUAACACUGCGCGGGACUGACGGUACCGCUAAAGGAAGCCACGGCUAACUCUGUGCCAGCAGCCGCGGUAAUACAGAGGUGGCAAGCGUUGUUUCGGAAUUACUGGGCGUAAAGGGCGCGUAGGCGGCCAUCUAAGUCUGACGUGAAAUCCCCCGGCUUAACCUGGGAACUGCGUCUGAUACUGGAAGGCUUCGAGUUUUGGGAGAGGGAUGUGGAAU